RNAcentral lists this transfer RNA (69 nucleotides) under Ictidomys tridecemlineatus (thirteen-lined ground squirrel). RNAcentral describes it as "Spermophilus tridecemlineatus (thirteen-lined ground squirrel) tRNA". It matches the Rfam family "tRNA". Rfam says of the family: Transfer RNA (tRNA) molecules are approximately 80 nucleotides in length. Their secondary structure includes four short double-helical elements and three loops (D, anti-codon, and T loops). The record is from Rfam by way of RNAcentral. Lineage: Eukaryota; Metazoa; Chordata; Mammalia; Rodentia; Sciuridae.
GGGGCUGUAGCUCAGUGGUAGAGCACUUGCCUAGCACUCAUGAGGCCCUGGGUUCAAUCCUCAGCACCA